GCUCAUGCCCUGACCCCGGUGGACACAUUUUGAACCCUGUUGUGCCCUGGAUGAUGGUGCUCACUCCAGCCUUUACUAUUCUCACCUCCUUCAUUUCCUUUAUUCUGGUGUAUCUCUUCUGUCAGAAAACAGAUAAGGAACCUCAAAUUCUCCAGAAAAGACUUAACACCAGGAUUCAAACAAGAUGGGAUCAGGAUGAAGAUUUGUGUUUCACACGAGUUGUGUUCCGAGCGAAGGAUGGAAGAAAACAACAAUAGACGGAAAAUGGACAACAAUAUCACAUUCACACUGUUUAGGCAGAAACAAACUAAAGUGCAAGGAGUUCAGAUUCAGAAGGUUUACAUUCAUGUGCUCAGUUUAAGUAUUCAAUCCCUCCUGCUUUUCUCUCAGUUGUUGUGCCAAUCUGUUAGAUCAUGAAGUGUUGACAUGUUUUAUAAAGAUUGGGUUUAG
This is a long non-coding RNA of Trematomus bernacchii (emerald rockcod), 450 nucleotides long. RefSeq lists it as uncharacterized. Lineage: Eukaryota; Metazoa; Chordata; Actinopteri; Perciformes; Nototheniidae. The transcript has 3 exons. The record is from RefSeq and is a predicted model, not a curated record.